UACGGGGGGAGCAAGCGUUGUUCGGAUUUACUGGGCGUAAAGGGCGCGUAGGCGGCCUCUGCAAGUCGGCUGUGAAAUCUCCGGGCUUAACCCGGAAAGGUCAGCCGAUACUGCAGGGCUAGAGUGCAGAAGGGGCAACUGGAAUUCUCGGUGUAGCGGUGAAAUGCGUAGAUAUCGAGAGGAACACCUGCGGCGAAGGCGGGUUGCUGGGCUGACACUGACGCUGAGGCGCGAAAGCUAGGGGAGCGAACGGG
This 254-nucleotide ribosomal RNA is filed under the name uncultured bacterium. Its description in RNAcentral is "partial 16S ribosomal RNA". It matches the Rfam family "Bacterial small subunit ribosomal RNA", at positions 524 to 776 of the family's 1533-position model. The record is from RNAcentral.